AGUGAACGCUGGCGGUAGGCCUAACACAUGCAAGUCGAACGGCAGCACAGUAAGAGCUUGCUCUUACGGGUGGCGAGUGGCGGACGGGUGAGGAAUACAUCGGAAUCUACUUUUUCGUGGGGGAUAACGUAGGGAAACUUACGCUAAUACCGCAUACGACCUACGGGUGAAAGCAGGGGAUCUUCGGACCUUGCGCGAUUGAAUGCGCCGAUGUCGGAUUAGCUAGUUGGCGGGGUAAAGGCCCAGCAAGGCGACGAUCCGUAGCUGGUCUGAGAGGAUGAUCAGCCACACUGGAACUGAGACACGGUCCAGACUCCUACGGGAGGCAGCAGUGGGGAAUAUUGGACAAUGGGCGCAAGCCUGAUCCAGCCAUACCGCGUGGGUGAAGAAGGCCUUCGGGUUGUAAAGCCCUUUUGUUGGGAAAGAAAAGCGGCAGGUUAAUACCCCGCUGUUCUGACGGUACCCAAAGAAUAAGCACCGGCUAACUUCGUG
Molecule: ribosomal RNA, 492 nt
Filed under: uncultured bacterium
Lineage: Bacteria
Description: partial 16S ribosomal RNA
Rfam family: Bacterial small subunit ribosomal RNA
Source: RNAcentral